CCCAGGCUACAACUCCUCUAUAUCCAUACAUUUCUCAGCAUAUGAUAUUUAUUUAUUUUACAACAGUAAAUAAGGAAAUUCAAGUAUCUAACGUAUCAUCAUGUCCCUUUUUUUUGUGAGAAAACAUGUAAAGUACUCUUCAAUUUAUCAUAGACUUGCAGCAUUCAUAAUCACCAACAAAUCUCUUUCAACUUGAAGACCAUUGUCGAAAUUAACAGUCCUUUUGAUGUUUGCAAUAGCUAUCCGAGCUGCUUCUCUAUAUUUUUUUCC
RNAcentral lists this long non-coding RNA (270 nucleotides) under Solanum tuberosum (potato). Its description in RNAcentral is "long non-coding RNA (STUB_LNC009189)". The record is from RNAcentral. Lineage: Eukaryota; Viridiplantae; Streptophyta; Magnoliopsida; Solanales; Solanaceae.